CCUACGGGAGGCAGCAGUCGGGAAUAUUGCGCAAUGGAGGAAACUCUGACGCAGUGACGCCGCGUGAAGGAAGAAGGUCUUCGGAUUGUAAACUGCUUUAGACAGGGGAGAAAAAAGACAGUACCUGUAGAAUAAGCUCCGGCUAACUACGUGCCAGCAGGCGCGGUAAUACGGAGGGAGCAAGCGUUAUCCGGAUUGAUUUGGAGUAAAGGGUGCAUUGAAUGAGUAGUAAGUUAGGUGUGAAAUCUCUCGGCUUAACUGAAGAACUGCAACUAAAACUACUCACCUUGAGUACUGGGUAGGAUAGUGGAAUUCCUAGGGUAGCGGUGAAAUGCGUAGAUAGUAGGAGGAAAACCAGUUGCGAAGGCGACUUUCUUGACAGUACCUGACGUUGGGGCACGAAAGUGUGGGGAGCAAACCGGAUUAGAUACCCCGGGUAGUC
This 442-nucleotide ribosomal RNA is filed under the name uncultured bacterium. Its description in RNAcentral is "partial 16S ribosomal RNA". It matches the Rfam family "Bacterial small subunit ribosomal RNA", at positions 338 to 795 of the family's 1533-position model. The record is from RNAcentral.